This is a non-coding RNA of Pelobates cultripes (western spadefoot toad), 774 nucleotides long. NCBI's taxonomy places the organism in Eukaryota, Metazoa, Chordata, Amphibia, Anura, Pelobatidae. The record is from the annotation of a GenBank genome assembly.
GUCUUUAAUACUGAUUGGACCCUGGGCAGGCAUUUGCUUGAGCCCCCUGGGCCUAGCAUGAAAUCACACACUCCACCCCCACAUAAAAACAAAACAAAAACACACUUAGCCGCACUCAUUUUUACGGAGACAAAAUACACACACUGACACACAUACAGAUGCAGACACUGACAUACAUAGAGAUACACACAUACACAGGUACAGACAAACAAAGACAGAUACAUAUACACACAAGUGCAUACACAGACACACAUGCAGAUACACAUCUACACACAUCCAGAUGCACAGAUACACUCACUGACAAACAUACAGAUAAACAGACCAAUACAAUGACAAACAUGCAGAUACUCACAAUAACACACAUAUACAUACACAGACCCACAUGCAGAUACAGACACAAUAACACACAUUGACACACACACUAACACACAUACAGAUACACAGACACACAAGCAGAUACACAUUUAGAUACACACACUGACACACAUACAGACAAACAUUUACACGCACAAAUACACAUUCAAACACACACAGAUAAACAUACAAAGAAACAGAUGCGCAUGAAGACACACAGUUACACAGGUACAAACAGAUACAGAGACACAGAUAGGCAUACGGACACACAGAUACAUAUAUGCAUACAGACACAGAUACACAUACAGACACAAAGACAGAUACACAAAUGGACACACAGAUACAGACACACAAAAACAGAUACACAUACAAACAUGCAACACCCUCCUGUUUCCUACCUUUUAGGUGCAGGAGGGUGAC